Molecule: long non-coding RNA, 301 nt
Filed under: Nicotiana benthamiana
Lineage: Eukaryota; Viridiplantae; Streptophyta; Magnoliopsida; Solanales; Solanaceae
Description: long non-coding RNA (NBEN_LNC010310)
Source: RNAcentral
AGCAUGAGAAGUUUGGUAUUCUCGCUGCAUUAUCGGAGGAUCACCGGAAAACUGACCUGCCUGUUCUCCGUCGGAAGUCUUCAAUCACUUCCUCGCCUUCCGGCACGGCGCCGAUUUCAGCUUCGCCUUCUACAGUGAUGCCGUUUUCCCGUGCAAUGCCUUCAAUUCCUAAGCCUCCAUCGGAUAAUUUUAAUCCCUUCCGGUACGGAGCCGAUUUCAGCUUCGCCUUCUACAGUUAUGCCGUUUUCACGUGCAAUACAUUCAGUUCCUAAGCCUCCAUCGGAUAAUUUUAAUUUUAAUC